CGUAUCACCCAAGACAACUUUACGGAGUUGACGAUUGACGGAGCGAAGCGACGUCAAAGCGUUCAUUAAAGUCGAGUUGGCUUAGGGAUACGUUCGUUGGGUAGGGGAGCGUUCUGUAAGCCUGUGAAGGUGUGUCGUGAGGCAUGCUGGAGGUAUCAGAAGUGCGAAUGCUGACAUAAGUAACGAUAAAGCGGGUGAAAAGCCCGCUCGCCGGAAGACCAAGGGUUCCUGUCCAACGUUAAUCGGGGCAGGGUGAGUCGACCCCUAAGGCGAGGCCGAAAGGCGUAGUCGAUGGGAAACGGGUUAAUAUUCCCGUACUUGGUGUUACUGCGAAGGGGGGACGGAGAAGGCUAUGUUGGCCGGGCGACGGUUGUCCCGGUUUAAGCGUGUAGGUGUGUGUUCCAGGUAAAUCCGGUU
This 417-nucleotide ribosomal RNA is filed under the name Salmonella enterica subsp. enterica serovar Heidelberg. RNAcentral describes it as "partial 23S ribosomal RNA". It matches the Rfam family "Bacterial large subunit ribosomal RNA", at positions 1154 to 1547 of the family's 2925-position model. The record is from RNAcentral. Lineage: Bacteria; Pseudomonadati; Pseudomonadota; Gammaproteobacteria; Enterobacterales; Enterobacteriaceae. RNAcentral also lists the same sequence under 4 other names.